RNAcentral lists this ribosomal RNA (439 nucleotides) under uncultured bacterium. RNAcentral describes it as "partial 16S ribosomal RNA". It matches the Rfam family "Bacterial small subunit ribosomal RNA", at positions 339 to 795 of the family's 1533-position model. The record is from RNAcentral.
CUACGGGGGGCAGCAGUGGGGAAUAUUGCACAAUGGAGGAAACUCUGAUGCAGCAACGCCGCGUGGAGGAUGACACUUUUCGGAGCGUAAACUCCUUUUAUAUAGGAAGAAGAUGACGGUACUAUAUGAAUAAGCGCCGGCUAACUCCGUGCCAGCAGCCGCGGUAAUACGGAGGGCGCAAGCGUUACUCGGAAUCACUGUGCGUAAAGAGCGUGUAGGCGGAUUAAAAAGUCAGAAGUGAAAUCCUAUAGCUUAACUAUAGAACUGCUUCUGAAACUCUUAAUCUAGAAUAUGGGAGAGGUAGAUGGAAUUUCUGGUGUAGGGGUAAAAUCCGUAGAGAUCAGAAGGAAUACCGAUUGCGAAGGCGAUCUAAUAGAACAUUAUUGACGCUGAGACGCGAAAGCGUGGGGAGCAAACAGGAUUAGAUACCCUCGUAGUC